CUCCACCACAACCUAUAGCAUCCUCCCUAACUCCACCGCAACCUCCAUUAUCUGCCCAUGCCCCAUCACAACCUCUAGGAUCUAGGCAGACUCCAUCAGAAUCAUCCAUCCCACAUCUAUCUCAGGAUUUUCCAUCGACAGCCUCGUCUACAUCACGCCAUUACUGGAUAGUUAAUGUGAUAGGUAUGCACAAAAUAUUUAAAUUGCGUGUAAUUAUUAUAUACUUGCAUUAAUUAUUAAAUUAGGUAUAUAUAUUUUGAUUGACAGAUGAACAGGGAGUUAUAAAAUAAGAAAAACUACGGGUUAAGGAUGUUGGCUACUUGCACAUGGAAGGCGUGUCAUGUUAGAGUUUAAUGACACACUCCAACCCAUAGGAGAUGUAGCAGGACUAUUUGGAGGGAUUUUAGGGGAGCUAGCUUCUGAUUUUGUCACUUUUCCUGUCAAUUGCGAAAGCUGGCAUAAAGUUCCCAACGCAUAUAAAGAUGAAAUUUACAAAAAUAGAGUCAUGGAAAAAUCUAAUGUUGACGAAGGAUAUGUGAAGAAUUUCAUUUGAGAAAUAUCGGAAAAAAAUGGAAGGAUAAUAGAUGCAAGUUAUACCACGAGUACUAUGAUCCCACUAUUGGUCGAGAGGCAAAUCUUGUAAAACAUCCACCAGGAAUCUCACAAGACCAGUGGGCAAGUUUCAUUGAUUAUCAUGCACGCGAAAAAACUAAGGAGAUGUGUCUACAAAAUAGUGAAAAUCGAUCCAAAUUGACAAUCCCACACACUGGAGGAUCAAAGAGUUUGGCAAGAAAAAAAAUGAGAUGGAAAUUGAGAGUGGUCAGCCAGUGAGUAGGGGUUUAUUAUACAUCGCGACACAUAAGAAGAAAAACAGAUCUUUUGUGAAUGAAGGAGCACGAACUAUAAGU
This is a long non-coding RNA of Diospyros lotus (date-plum), 908 nucleotides long. RefSeq lists it as uncharacterized. The record is from RefSeq and is a predicted model, not a curated record. Lineage: Eukaryota; Viridiplantae; Streptophyta; Magnoliopsida; Ericales; Ebenaceae. The transcript has 4 exons.